GUUGGUCUCCAGACUGUCAGGUAGAUGAUUAUAACAGUAGUGUUGGUCCUGGUCUCCAGACUGUCAGGUAGAUGAUUAUAACAGUAGUGUUGGUCUCCAGACUGUCAGGAUGAUGAUUAUAACAGUAGUGCUGGUCUCCAGGCUGUCAGGUAGAUGAUUAUAACAGUAGUGUUGGUCUCCAGGCUUUCAGGUAGAUGAUUAUAACAGUGGUGUUGGUCCUGGUCUCCAGGCUGUCAGGUAGAUGAUUAUAACAGUAGUGUUGGUCCUGGUCUCCAGACUGUCAGGUAGAUGAUUAUAACAGUAGUGUUGGUCUCCAGACUGUCAGGUAGAUGAUUAUAACAGUAGUGUUGGUCUCCAGACUGUCAGGUAGAUGAUUAUAACAGUAGUGUUGGUCUCCAGACUGUCAGGUAGAUGAUUAUAACUGUAGUGUUGGUCUCCAGACUGUCAGGUAGAUGAGUAUAACAGUAGUGUUGGUCUCCAGGCUGUCAGGUAGAUGAUUAUAACAGUAGUGUUGGUCCUGUUCUCCAGACUGUCAG
Molecule: long non-coding RNA, 536 nt
Filed under: Salmo salar (Atlantic salmon)
Lineage: Eukaryota; Metazoa; Chordata; Actinopteri; Salmoniformes; Salmonidae
Description: lncRNA (ENSSSAG00000083726.1)
Source: RNAcentral